AAGAGCUGGAUGCCGGAAAUCGGCACGUCCAGUUCGGUGAGGGGCGGCGCUACGGCGCCGCCUACUCGGU
Bdellovibrionales bacterium GWA1_52_35 is the source of this 70-nucleotide non-coding RNA. NCBI's taxonomy places the organism in Bacteria, Pseudomonadati, Bdellovibrionota, Bdellovibrionia, Bdellovibrionales. The record is from Rfam.